RNAcentral lists this transfer RNA (68 nucleotides) under Godlewskia godlewskia. RNAcentral's name for it is "tRNA-Thr". It matches the Rfam family "tRNA". Rfam says of the family: Transfer RNA (tRNA) molecules are approximately 80 nucleotides in length. Their secondary structure includes four short double-helical elements and three loops (D, anti-codon, and T loops). The record is from RNAcentral. Lineage: Eukaryota; Metazoa; Mollusca; Gastropoda; Littorinimorpha; Baicaliidae.
GCAAUAGUAGCUUAAUUUUUUUAAAGCGGUGGUCUUGUAAGCCAAAGAUAAAUAUUAUUUUUAUUGCU